GAUUUAUAAAGAAGCGGCGAGAGAUCAGGCUCAAUUACCCGCUGGCAACCCUCUAAGUUUAGAGAAGGUGCCAAUUCCUGUCCCGGCAAAUAACACCGGGGGAUAUAAAUU
RNAcentral lists this non-coding RNA (111 nucleotides) under Mucilaginibacter mallensis. RNAcentral's name for it is "SAM-I sequence". It matches the Rfam family "SAM riboswitch aptamer (S box leader)". Rfam says of the family: The SAM riboswitch is found upstream of a number of genes which code for proteins involved in methionine or cysteine biosynthesis in Gram-positive bacteria. The SAM riboswitch acts at the level of transcription termination control. The record is from Rfam by way of RNAcentral. Lineage: Bacteria; Pseudomonadati; Bacteroidota; Sphingobacteriia; Sphingobacteriales; Sphingobacteriaceae.